RNAcentral lists this unclassified non-coding RNA (209 nucleotides) under Glomus sp. RNAcentral's name for it is "partial contains 5.8S ribosomal RNA and internal transcribed spacer 2". The stretch from base 1 to 65 matches the Rfam family "5.8S ribosomal RNA", at positions 84 to 154 of the family's 154-position model. Lineage: Eukaryota; Fungi; Glomeromycota; Glomeromycetes; Glomerales; Glomeraceae. The record is from RNAcentral.
GUGAAUCAUCGAAUUUUUGAACGCAAAUUGCACUCUCUUCGGAGAGUAUGCCUGUUUGAGGGUCAGCCUAAAAAAAAAAUCAACAUAGUCGCUUUUUCCCGGUGACUUUCUUGGUAAAUUGGGUAAUUUUAAACCUUUGGGUUUUAAGGGGCUUAAAUUUUUCUUUACGUUUCACCAACCGUUUUUAAAAUUUAUUUUUUAUACGUUUA